GUCGAGAAUCUUCCGCAAUGCGCGAAAGCGUGACGGAGCGACACCGCGUGAUGGAUGAAGUCCUUCGGGGCGUAAACAUCUUUUAUAAAGGAGGAAAUUUUUGACGUUACUUUAUGAAUAAGGGGCUCCCAAUCUCGUGCCAGCAGGAGCGGUAAUACGAGAGCCUCAAGCGUUAUCCGGAAUCAUUGGGCGUAAAGGGUGCGUAGGUGGUUUGAUUAGUCUCCCGUUAAAACUUCGAGCUUAACUCGAAAAGAGCGGGGGAAACGGUCAAACUAGAGUAUGAGAGAGGUGUGUGGAACUCAUGGUGUAGGGGUGAAAUCCGUUGAUAUCAUGGGGAACACCAAAAGCGAAGGCAGCACACUGGCACAUCACUGACACUGAGGCACGAAACCUAAGGUAGCGAAUGGGAUUAGAUACCCCUGUAGUCC
Molecule: ribosomal RNA, 428 nt
Filed under: uncultured bacterium
Lineage: Bacteria
Description: bacterial SSU rRNA
Rfam family: Bacterial small subunit ribosomal RNA
Source: RNAcentral